Molecule: ribosomal RNA, 509 nt
Filed under: uncultured Glomus
Lineage: Eukaryota; Fungi; Glomeromycota; Glomeromycetes; Glomerales; Glomeraceae
Description: SSU rRNA
Rfam family: Eukaryotic small subunit ribosomal RNA
Source: RNAcentral
AGCAGCCGCGGUAAUUCCAGCUCCAAUAGCGUAUAUUAAAGUUGUUGCAGUUAAAAAGCUCGUAGUUGAAUUUCGAGAUCAAUUUGUUGGUCGUGCCUCGGUACGUACUGGCAAUUUUGAUUUCUCCCUUCUGAAGAACCAUGAUGUCAUUAAUUUGGUGUCAUGGGGAAUCAGGACCGUUACUUUGAAAAAAUUAGAGUGUUUAAAGCAGGCUCGCGCUUGAAUACAUUAGCAUGGAAUAAUGAAAUAGGACGUUUGAUUCUAUUUUGUUGGUUUCUAGGAUCGACGUAAUGAUUAAUAGGGAUAGUUGGGGGCAUUAGUAUUCAAUUGUCAGAGGUGAAAUUCUUGGAUUUAUUGAAGACUAACUACUGCGAAAGCAUUUGCCAAGGAUGUUUUCAUUAAUCAAGAACGAAAGUUAGGGGAUCGAAGACGAUCAGAUACCGUCGUAGUCUUAACCAUAAACUAUGCCGACUAGGGAUCGGAUGAUGUUAAUUUUUAAUGACUCAUUC